UCAUCUUCGGGGGUAGAGCACUGUUUCGGCUAGGGGGUCAUCCCGACUUACCAACCCGAUGCAAACUACGAAUACCGAAGAAUGUUAUCACGGGAGACACACGGCGGGUGCUAACGUCCGUCGUGAAGAGGGAAACAACCCAGACCGCCAGCUAAGGUCCCAAAGUCACAGUUAAGUGGGAAACGAUGUGGGAAGGCUCAGACAGCCAGGAUGUUGGCUUAGAAGCAGCCAUCAUUUAAAGAAAGCGUAAUAGCUCACUGGUCGAGUCGGCCUGCGCGGAAGAUGUAACGGGGCUAAACUGUGCACCGAAGCUGCGGCAGCGACACUAUGUGUUGUUGGGUAGGGGAGCGUUCUGUAAGCCGUUGAAGGUGUGUCGUGAGGCAUGCUGGAGGUAUCAGAAGUGCGAAUGCUGACAUAAGUAACGAUAAAGCGGGUGAAAAACCCGCUCGCCGGAAGACCAAGGGUUCCUGUCCAACGUUAAUCGGGGCAGGGUGAGUCGACCCCUAAGGCGAGGCCGAAAGGCGUAGUCGAUGGGAAACAGGUUAAUAUUCCUGUACUUGGUGUUACUGCGAAGGGGGGACGGAGAAGGCUAUGUUGGCCGGGCGACGGUUGUCCCGGUUUAAGCGUGUAGGUUUGCAGACCAGGUAAAUCCGGUCUGCUUCAAGACUGAGACGUGAUGACGAGGCACUACGGUGCUGAAGUAACAAAUGCCCUGCUUCCAGGAAAAGCCUCUAAGCAUCAGGUAACACGAAAUCGUACCCCAAACCGACACAGGUGGUCAGGUAGAGAAUACCAAGGCGCUUGAGAGAACUCGGGUGAAGGAACUAGGCAAAAUGGUGCCGUAACUUCGGGAGAAGGCACGCUGAUACGUAGGUGAAGCGGUUUACCCGUGGAGCUGAAAUCAGUCGAAGAUACCAGCUGGCUGCAACUGUUUAUUAAAAACACAGCACUGUGCAAACACGAAAGUGGACGUAUACGGUGUGACGCCUGCCCGGUGCCGGAAGGUUAAUUGAUGGGGUUAGCGCAAGCGAAGCUCUUGAUCGAAGCCCCGGUAAACGGCGGCCGUAACUAUAACGGUCCUAAGGUAGCGAAAUUCCUUGUCGGGUAAGUUCCGACCUGCACGAAUGGCGUAAUGAUGGCCAGGCUGUCUCCACCCGAGACUCAGUGAAAUUGAACUCGCUGUGAAGAUGCAGUGUACCCGCGGCAAGACGGAAAGACCCCGUGAACCUUUACUAUAGCUUGACACUGAACAUUGAGCCUUGAUGUGUAGGAUAGGUGGGAGGCUUUGAAGUGUGGACGCCAGUCUGCAUGGAGCCAACCUUGAAAUACCACCCUUUAAUGUUUGAUGUUCUAACGUAGACCCGUAAUCCGGGUUGCGGACAGUGUCUGGUGGGUAGUUUGACUGGGGCGGUCUCCUCCCAAAGAGUAACGGAGGAGCACGAAGGUUAGCUAAUCCUGGUCGGACAUCAGGAGGUUAGUGCAAUGGCAUAAGCUAGCUUGACUGCGAGCGUGACGGCGCGAGCAGGUGCGAAAGCAGGUCAUAGUGAUCCGGUGGUUCUGAAUGGAAGGGCCAUCGCUCAACGGAUAAAAGGUACUCCGGGGAUAACAGGCUGAUACCGCCCAAGAGUUCAUAUCGACGGCGGUGUUUGGCACCUCGAUGUCGGCUCAUCACAUCCUGGGGCUGAAGUAGGUCCCAAGGGUAUGGCUGUUCGCCAUUUAAAGUGGUACGCGAGCUGGGUUUAGAACGUCGUGAGACAGUUCGGUCCCUAUCUGCCGUGGGCGCUGGAGAAUUGAGGGGGGCUGCUCCUAGUACGAGAGGACCGGAGUGGACGCAUCACUGGUGUUCGGGUUGUCAUGCCAAUGGCAUUGCCCGGUAGCUACAUGCGGAAGAGAUAAGUGCUGAAAGCAUCUAAGCACGAAACUUGCCCCGAGAUGAGUUCUCCCUGAGACUUUAAGUCUCCUGAAGGAACGUUGAAGACGACGACGUUGAUAGGCUGGGUGUGUAAGUGCAGCGAUGCAUUGAGCUAACCAGUACUAAUGAACCGUGAGGCUUAACCUUACAACGCCAAAGGUGUUUUG
RNAcentral lists this ribosomal RNA (2079 nucleotides) under Salmonella enterica. RNAcentral's name for it is "partial 23S ribosomal RNA". It matches the Rfam family "Bacterial large subunit ribosomal RNA", at positions 890 to 2925 of the family's 2925-position model. The record is from RNAcentral. Lineage: Bacteria; Pseudomonadati; Pseudomonadota; Gammaproteobacteria; Enterobacterales; Enterobacteriaceae.